RNAcentral lists this ribosomal RNA (466 nucleotides) under uncultured bacterium. Its description in RNAcentral is "partial 16S ribosomal RNA". It matches the Rfam family "Bacterial small subunit ribosomal RNA", at positions 28 to 507 of the family's 1533-position model. The record is from RNAcentral.
GACGAACGCUGGCGGCGUGCUUAACACAUGCAAGUCGAACGGAAAGGCCUCUUUCGGGGGGUACUCGAGUGGCGAACGGGUGAGUAACACGUGAGUAACCUGCCCUUGACUUUGGGAUAACUUCAGGAAACUGGGGCUAAUACCGGAUAGGAGCUCCUGCUGCAUGGUGGGGGUUGGAAAGUUUCGGCGGUUGGGGAUGGACUCGCGGCUUAUCAGCUUGUUGGUGGGGUAGUGGCUUACCAAGGCUUUGACGGGUAGCCGGCCUGAGAGGGUGACCGGCCACAUUGGGACUGAGAUACGGCCCAGACUGCUACGGGAGGCAGCAGUGGGGAAUAUUGCACAAUGGGCGGAAGCCUGAUGCAGCAACUCCGCGUGCGGGAUGACGGCCUUCGGGUUGUAAACCGCUUUCGCCUGUGACGAAGCGUGAGUGACGGUAAUGGGUAAAGAAGCACCGGCUAACUACGUG